CCAGAGUUGAAAAACUCCCAAACACUUGUGAACCUACCAUUGUUGCUUCGGCGGGUGGCCUUAGGGGCUUCUGUCCCUGUGGUCGCUCGCCGGAGGUCCAAACUCGAUAUGUUAUUUUGUCUCUCUGAUAAAUAAAAAAAACAAGUUA
RNAcentral lists this unclassified non-coding RNA (148 nucleotides) under uncultured Ascomycota. RNAcentral's name for it is "sequence contains ITS1". Lineage: Eukaryota; Fungi; Ascomycota. The record is from RNAcentral.